GAGUUUGAUCAUGGCUCAGAAUGAACGCUGGCGGCAGGCCUAACACAUGCAAGUCGAACGGAGUUAUAUUGUAGCUUGCUAUGGUAUAACUUAGUGGCAGACGGGUGAGUAAUGUAUAGGAAUCUACCUAGUAGUACGGAAUAAUUGUUGGAAACGGCAACUAAUACCGUAUACGCCCUACGGGGGAAAAAUUUAUUGCUAUUAGAUGAGCCUAUAUUAGAUUAGUUAGNUGGUAAGGUAAUGGCUUACCAAGGCAAUGAUCUAUAGCUGAUCUGAGAGGAUGAUCAGCCACACUGGAACUGAGAUACGGUCCAGACUCCUACGGGAGGCAGCA
Molecule: ribosomal RNA, 334 nt
Filed under: uncultured Wolbachia sp.
Lineage: Bacteria; Pseudomonadati; Pseudomonadota; Alphaproteobacteria; Rickettsiales; Anaplasmataceae
Description: bacterial SSU rRNA
Rfam family: Bacterial small subunit ribosomal RNA
Source: RNAcentral